Molecule: ribosomal RNA, 252 nt
Filed under: Enterobacter cloacae
Lineage: Bacteria; Pseudomonadati; Pseudomonadota; Gammaproteobacteria; Enterobacterales; Enterobacteriaceae
Also listed under: 1 other name
Description: partial 23S ribosomal RNA
Rfam family: Bacterial large subunit ribosomal RNA
Source: RNAcentral
GGAAACAGGUUAAUAUUCCUGUACUUGGUGUUACUGCGAAGGGGGGACGGAGAAGGCUAUGUUAGCCGGGCGACGGUUGUCCCGGUUUAAGCAUGUAGGCGGAACGAUUAGGUAAAUCCGGUCGUUUAUUAACGCUGAGGUGUGAUGACGAGGCACUACGGUGCUGAAGUAACAAAUGCCCUGCUUCCAGGAAAAGCCUCUAAGCAUCAGGUAACAUCAAAUCGUACCCCAAACCGACACAGGUGGUCAGGU